RNAcentral lists this long non-coding RNA (860 nucleotides) under Trifolium pratense (red clover). RNAcentral's name for it is "long non-coding RNA (TPRA_LNC008235)". The record is from RNAcentral. Lineage: Eukaryota; Viridiplantae; Streptophyta; Magnoliopsida; Fabales; Fabaceae.
GAGUAAAAUAGGUUACGGGGUCGAAAACCCUCAAAAGUCAACCAAAAGUCAACAUUUUUAAUCCUGUGAACAGUGCCUGCGCUGGGGCGCCAGCCUUCGUCACAAAACAAAGUCAAAAUGGCAUUUCUAGACUUCUCUGGGCGCCUGGGCGCCACUCCUCUAAAACGGUGCGCCACAGACAAAUUGUGCUGGAUUUCUGCAGGACAGCCUCUCAUUGCAACGAUCAUAACUUGGGCUACGAAAGUCCAAUGGAGACGCACAUAUACUCGUUGGAAAGCUAACAAACAGGGCUACAACUUUUAUGGUGGCCACUAAAACCAGUUCACAACGAAAAGAGGUAAAAAAUGCACGUAAAGGUUCAGACCUCAUAGAUAACAAUUUUCUACAUUUCUCAUUUCAAACUCUAAACUCUCAAGACUCUCACAUAGACCAUUUUUCAUAUUUUAAACUCCAUCACACAUAUAUACAUACUCAAAGCACUUACAAAAGUCCAUUUAAACAUCAAUACAUCAUUCAUUACUUAUUAUUCAAAGAAAUUCAUGAACAUUUUGCAAAACUCAUCAACAUUUUGCAAAUCAUUGAGCUUGGCUAAGGCCAAUCUAGGGCUUAGGCAAAGCACACCAAAAUAACCACACAUCAACACAAUCAACCAAGCAUAUUCAUAAGCACUUAAACACAAGUAUUUUAACCAUCAAAAACACUUAUACACAUAGUUAUGAUUCCAUUUAUACAAGCUUGUGAACAUAUCAAAAUUCAUCAAGAACACAAACUUUUUCCUUAACAAACAUCUACAAAUUCCCUCAUACAAUCAUGUCAUGAAUAAAUAACAUCUCAUGAUCUUUUCCUUUCAAUGAUUCAUG